GAUGAACGCUGGCGGCGUGCCUAAUACAUGCAAGUCGAGCGAACAGACGAGGAGCUUUCUCCUCUGACGUUAGCGGCGGACGGGUGAGUAACACGUGGAUAACCUACCUAUAAGACUGGGAUAACUUCGGGAAACCGGAGCUAAUAACGGAUAAUAUAUUGAACCGCAGGGUUCAAUAGUGAAACACGGUUUUGCUGUCACUUAUAGAUGGAUCCGCGCCGCAUUAGCUAGUUGGUAAGGUAACGGCUUACCAAGGCAACGAUGCGUAGCCGACCUGAAAGGGUGAUCGGCCACACUGGAACUGAGACACGGUCCAGACUCCUACGGGAGGCAGCAGUAGGGAAUCUUGCGCAAUGGGCGAAAGCCUGACGGAGCAACGCCGCGUGAGUGAUGAAGGUCUUCGGAUCGUAAAACUCUUUUAUUAGGGAAGAACAAAUGUGUAAGUAACUAUGCACGUCUUGACGGUACCUAAUCAGAAAGCCACGGCUAACUACGUG
RNAcentral lists this ribosomal RNA (497 nucleotides) under uncultured bacterium. RNAcentral describes it as "partial 16S ribosomal RNA". It matches the Rfam family "Bacterial small subunit ribosomal RNA", at positions 28 to 507 of the family's 1533-position model. The record is from RNAcentral.